GAUGAACGCUGGCGGCGUGCCUAAUACAUGCCAGUCGAGCGAACAGACGAGGAGCUUGCUCCUCUGACGUUAGCGGCGGACGGGUGAGUAACACGUGGAUAACCUACCUAUAAGACUGGGAUAACUUCGGGAAACCGGAGCUAAUACCGGAUAAUAUAUUCAACGGCUGGGUUCAAUGGUGAAUGAGGGUUUGCGUGUCACUAUUAGAUGGUUCCGGGCCGCAUUAGCUAGUUGGUAAGGUAACGGCUUACCAAGGCGACGAUGCGUAGCUGACCUGAGAGGGUGAUCGGCCACACUGGAACUGAGACACGGUCCAGACUCCUACGGGAGGCAGCAGUAGGGAAUCUUCCGCAAUGGGCGAAAGCCUGACGGAGCAACGCCGCGUGAGUGAUGAAGGUCUUCGGAUCGUAAAACUCUGUUAUUAGGGAAGAACAAAUGUGUAAGUAACUAUGCACGUCUUGACGGUACCUAAUCAGAAAGCCACGGCUAACUACGUG
This 497-nucleotide ribosomal RNA is filed under the name uncultured bacterium. RNAcentral describes it as "partial 16S ribosomal RNA". It matches the Rfam family "Bacterial small subunit ribosomal RNA", at positions 28 to 507 of the family's 1533-position model. The record is from RNAcentral.